ACGAGUAUGGAUUAAUGAUAAACCGUUUGUCUUCCAAACAAAUUAUGCUGGUUUGAUUUUAACUAUUCAUA
RNAcentral lists this transfer RNA (71 nucleotides) under Hapsidospora chrysogena. Its description in RNAcentral is "Acremonium chrysogenum tRNA-Gly". It matches the Rfam family "tRNA". From Rfam's summary of the family: Transfer RNA (tRNA) molecules are approximately 80 nucleotides in length. Their secondary structure includes four short double-helical elements and three loops (D, anti-codon, and T loops). The record is from RNAcentral. Lineage: Eukaryota; Fungi; Ascomycota; Sordariomycetes; Hypocreales; Bionectriaceae. RNAcentral also lists the same sequence under 1 other name.